CAGCGUUCAAGUCACAUGACAUAUUUAACCGGAUGUAGCUGCAAGACGGAGCCUCGUUACCUCUCCGUUUCAACUUAUCUCAAAAGUGAGGACCUCAACCUAUAUACCAGUUUUUAAAUUGUGUUGAUAGGCCAAAUAAAACCAGAGUUAUGAUAAAUUAUGUCCGCGAUACUUUUUUUCUGCUUAUUUUGAUCACGUUCGGCGCUCGAUCGCGCUGUAUGAGACAGGAAAACAUAGCAUGCACACAUUAGCGACAGGUCUUACAGGCGGAAAAGGCUUGCCAAAAGAAAAAAAAACACACCACAACAUCUCUCCUAUUGGUGGAAAACUUCACCACAACAACCAAUCCAAAAUUAUAUGGUGACUGAUUGACAAGGGGCGGGCGCUUACGUUCUUCCUGCAACAUGAGAAGGGAGGGAGGGACUCUCAGCAGGGAUGCAGUCUGGGACACGUAGUUGCAAACCUAGCGACUUUGUUGUUAGAUUCAAUGACUUUUCAGACCCCCUAACGACUUUUUUUAGAAAGAAAGGGACUUUUAUCGACUUCUUCUGGAGUUUAGAGACUCUGACAUGAAGCAGGCUUUCCUUACUGAGGAGUUAGCAACGCUGCUAAGGGUGCAGAGCCACACAUGCGCUCCGAGCUCUGCAUGGGAGACUGAAGCUGACAGAGCUGCAGCAGUUAGCAGGUUUCACCCUCAGAGACCACCAGGGGUUCAUGUUGAGGCAUUUUCAGUGUUUUUUUUUUUUGCCAUAGACUGUCAGCACAAUCCGCAGUUACACUAACAAAAAUGCUGCAAAAAACAAAGAAUUAUGGAAAAAUUACACAUGGACUGACAUAGAGGAGGAUCUACACAAGUUUUUUACAUCAUGUUUUACAUCAUGCAUCAUUUACAUCAUGUUUUUUUGUAGUGGCAUAAAUAAAAAGUGACAUUUGUGAGACUAUACAGUGUUUUGUAAAUAAUUUUACAAAGAACGCCUGGGCCAUUGCCUGCAUUUUGAUGUAAAUAGAGGUAAAUUACUAUGUUCUAUGUUAAAAAUUUGCAUAUGUUUUGAAGUUUACAAUUUUUAUUUGAAGUUUAAGUUUUAAAAACAGUUCAUCACACAUAUUUGUGGUUUAAUUUCACAUUAAUUUCCAUAUUGUAUAAAUGACUGGAAAAAACUUGAGCCCCUGCCCCUGUAUAAUCAUGUGCACGUCCCUGUUCUAGCUCCAAGGUGAAUCUUCACUGCUCAUGUUCUCCUCAGAAAUAGUCACCUCACUCCCCUCAGGUUACUGUACACAUGCACCAACUAUCUGCUUCAGGUUUGGAUGGAGCUUCAUGGUUGUCUUUUGGAGAAAUGAACAGUCAAGUUGUGUUUGAAAUCUGAUUUUUUUCAGGGGCAAAAGGAAGCCUCUGCAUUCUUGUCAAAUAUGUAAACAGCAUGUUUUUGCAGGUGCUAAAAAACAGACUCUGAGUGUGUGUGUGUGUGUGUGUGUGUGUGUGUGUGUGUGUGUGUGUGUGUGUGUGUGUAUAUGUGUGUGUAUCCUGCAGUACUCUGUACUCCUGCAGUGGCCAAAAAGACUUUUAAGAAUGUGGAUUUUUGGGUCAUCUUUGGCGCCCCCUAGAACUGCAGUACUCUGUACUCCUGCAGUGGCCAAAAUGACUUUUAAGAAUGUGGAUUUUUGGGUCAUCUUUGGCGCCCCCUAGAACGUAAACCGUGGGGUGCAGCGUCAUGAUUUUUACAACUUUGAAUGGCCAUGGGGUCUAGAUUGCCCUGAGCAAAUUUGGUAUCGGUGGGACGAAAGCCUUAGGAGGAGAUAGCCACAUUCCAAUGUGUGCGAAUCGGCAAAAAAUGCGAAAUAGCCCUUUAACCGUACAUUAUACAGAUACGCGCUUUUUGACUUUUUCGUAGAUCUAAUUGAGAUACACAUGAUUGUCAAUUUUUGUGUCAAUAUGACAAAGCGUUCAGGCGUGACACUCAACAAUGUGUAUUUUCAUGUAAGGGGACAAGAAAAAAUUGACUUUUUUCUCCUGCCAUGGGGGGGGCGCUCUUUUGGGGAGUAAAAAUUCCUUCACAAAUGUGUUGAUGGCUGGACAUUGCAUCAUCCUAGAAAACUUGGAGGGCAGUGAGGACAAAAAUAAAAAGUUAUAAGACUUUUAAGAAUGUGGAUUUUGGGUUAUCUUUGGCGCCCCCUAGAACGUAAACCGUGGGGUGCAGCGUCAUGAUUUGUACAACUUUUAAUGGCCAUGGGGGGUAGAUUGGCCUGCGCAAAUGUGGUGCCGGUCGAACGAAAGCCUUCGGAGGAGUUAGCGAAAUUCCAAUGUGUGCAGAUCUGCAAAAAAUGCAAAAUAACCCAUUAACCGUACAUUUGACAGAUACGCCCGCACUGACUUUUUUGUAGAUCUUAUUGAGAUACAUGUGUGUGUCAUUUUUUGUGUCAAUAUGACAAAGCGUACAGCCGUCAUGUGAAUUUUCACCUUAGGGGGCGCUAUGGAGCCAUUUUGCAUUUUAUUGUUUGGCCGACUUCAGAAUAUCGAAUUUUUCACCAGGCCCGGUCGUCCUGCCAAAUUUCCUGAGUUUUCGCCAGUGGGAAGUGGGCCAUUUUCCAGUUUAAAGCGGAGGAAAAAUAAUAACGAAAGAAGGAAACAUGCAGGAACAAGAGGGCUCUCGCAGCUGCUUAGCAGCUACGCUCGGGCCCUAACUAGGACCCCGUUGGGGCACUGGCGGGCCCGAGCCGUGUCGCAUCCCCCCCCCCCCAACGUGCUGCCUUCCCGUCCCAUUUGUGUCCUCUGGCCAUCGCCCUCUCUGGUAACGCCCAUCACUGCAAAGACCCUUUUCCUUCAUCGGCGUUUGCUGUUCUUCCUGCCAGUGCGUGUUGCUUUCACUUACACUUGCCACAGCCAGCCUCGUGAGUGCCUAGCCUUUUGGAUAUCACUGUCACCUACACAGGACAGUCAUUACCUUUCUAUUAAUACUUUGUGUUUUAAUUUCACUUUAAUUUCCAUUUUGUAUAAACGACUGGAAAAAACUUGAGCCCCUGCCCCUGUAUAAUCAUGUGCAUGUCUCUGUUCUAGCUCCAAGGUGAAUCUUCACUGCUCAUGUUCUCCUCAGAAGCACUCACCUCACUCCCCUCAGGUUACUGUACACAUGCACCAACUGCCUGCUUCAGGUUUGGAUGGAGCUUCAUGGUUGUCUUUUGGAGAAAUGACCAGUCAAGUUGUGUUUGAAAUUUGAUUUUUUCAGGGGCAAAAGGAGCCUCUGCAUUCUUGUCAAAUAUGUAAAUAGCAUGUUUUUGCAGGUGCUAAAAACCAGACUCUGAGUGUGUGUGUGUGUGUGUGUGUGUGUGUGUGUGUGUGUGUGUCUGUGUGUGCGUUCAAGUCACAUGACAUAUUUAACCGGAUGUAGCUGCAAGACGGAGCCUCGUUGACUCUCCGUUUCAACUUAUCUCAAAAGUGAGGACCUCAACCUAUAUACCAGUUUUUAAAUUGUGUUGAUAGGCCAAAUAAAACCAGAGUUAUGAUAAAUUAUGUCCGCGAUACUUUUUUUCUGCUUAUUUUGAUCACGUUCGGCGCUCGAUCGCGCUGUAUGAGACAGGAAAACAUAGCAUGCAGACAUUAGCGACAGGUCUUACAGGCGGAAAAGGCUUGCCAAAAGAAAAAAAAAACACACCACAACAUCUCUCCUAUUGGUGGAAAACUUCACCACAACAACCAAUCCAAAAUUAUAUGGUGACUGAUUG
Non-coding RNA from Xyrichtys novacula (pearly razorfish), 3717 nucleotides. NCBI's taxonomy places the organism in Eukaryota, Metazoa, Chordata, Actinopteri, Labriformes, Labridae. The record is from the annotation of a GenBank genome assembly.